Molecule: ribosomal RNA, 406 nt
Filed under: uncultured Geobacteraceae bacterium
Lineage: Bacteria; Pseudomonadati; Thermodesulfobacteriota; Desulfuromonadia; Geobacterales; Geobacteraceae
Description: partial 16S ribosomal RNA
Rfam family: Bacterial small subunit ribosomal RNA
Source: RNAcentral
CCUACGGGUGGCAGCAGUGAGGAAUAUUGCGCAAUGGGGGAAACCCUGACGCAGCAACGCCGCGUGGGUGAAGAAGGCCAUCGGGUCGUAAAGCUCUGUCAGAGGGGAAGAAAUGCAGGUGGUGAACAACCAUUCUGUUUGACGGUACCCUCAAAGGAAGCACCGGCUAACUCCGUGCCAGCAGCCGCGGUAAUACGGAGGGUGCGAGCGUUGUUCGGAAUUAUUGGGCGUAAAGCGCGUGUAGGCGGUUUGUUAAGUCUGAUGUAAAAGCCCCGGGCUCAACCUGGGAAGUGCAUUGGAUAGUGGCAGACUUGAGUACGGGAGAGGAGAGUGGAAUUCCCAGUGUAGGAGUAAAAUCCGUAGAUAUUGGGAGGAACACCGAUGGCGAGGGCGGCUCUCGGGACCG